GUACCGGUUUAAGGUCUUAGUGCACUGUCUGGGCAGAUGAAGGAUUCCUGCCCUGUGCACGAGAGUCUUAGUGCACUGUCUGGGCAGAAGAAGGUUUCCUGCCCUGUGCACGGGUGGAAGAAGGUUCCCCACCCCGAAAUGGCGCCUGUGAGUAGAUGAAGGAUUCCUACUCCGAAUAGUCUUUUUCUUUCUUUUUUUCCUUUUUAGAAAGCGCACCGGGGGACGCCCCAAUCGCGCAGGCUCUGGGACUCGUGAGAGACGUUCCACGAGUCAGCCUUUGUUGGGUCCUGGCUCUGGGACGCGUGAGAAACGUUCCUCGAGCCGAAUUUUGUCGGGAGGACCCGGCAACGGACAGUCAAAAAGAUCUGACUGUGACUUUGGAGGUCGAGUUCGGCUGCCUAUUUAAGUAUAGGCACGGACAAGUGUGCUUAGAUGUGUUAGUGUCUGUUGUCUGUAUUCUGUUUCUGUGUUUGGUAUCCCGGAAGCAGCUAAGGUUAAGCUGCAGUUUGGGCCAGGUACUGAAGGUACCAGGCAUCUGUGGAAAUUGGUUAUAGGAUGCUUUGUCUUGGUCUUGUUUGUCUGGA
This 584-nucleotide long non-coding RNA is filed under the name Rattus norvegicus (Norway rat). RNAcentral's name for it is "long non-coding RNA NONRATT011084". The record is from RNAcentral. Lineage: Eukaryota; Metazoa; Chordata; Mammalia; Rodentia; Muridae.